This 498-nucleotide ribosomal RNA is filed under the name Triticum aestivum (bread wheat). Its description in RNAcentral is "partial small subunit ribosomal RNA". Lineage: Eukaryota; Viridiplantae; Streptophyta; Magnoliopsida; Poales; Poaceae. The record is from RNAcentral.
GUCAAGAGUAACGAAUGGACUAGACUGCGGGCCGCCCUGCCAUUCGUGCUUCCGGAUUAUCCCGACACGGUUUCAUGGCGGCCCACGCCGACGGCGGAGUUCUCAAUGUGCACGGCACACCAUGCUCUUUGCCCACCUACAACUACUCCCUGGCUUUCCCCUCUAUGGAAAGCCCUCGUCCCUUUAAAGACUAAGAUUUUUGUUUGGCAACUUCUACGGGAUGGUCUCCCCUCGGGGAUAGAGGUACUUAAGCGGCGCGGGCCUGGUGAUGGUAUAUGCCCUCUCUGCGCGGUACCUGAGACCGGGACCCAUAUUCUCUUCUGGUGUACGGCAGCAAGGGUAUUAUGGACAUACGUCCGCGAGGCAUUGAGGCCUGACUGGGAGGCCCUAAAUCCCGCGGAGUUUCUCCAGCUUAGAGCUUUACAGCCGUCACCGCAUCGCCGCCUAUUUUUGCGGCGAUGUCGUGGACUCUUUGAACGACUAGGAAUAACAUGGUGA